AUUGAACGCUGGCGGCAGGCCUAACACAUGCAAGUCGAGCGGAUGAAGGGAGCUUGCUCCUGGAUUCAGCGGCGGACGGGUGAGUAAUGCCUAGGAAUCUGCCUGGUAGUGGGGGAUAACGUCCGGAAACGGGCGCUAAUACCGCAUACGUCCUGAGGGAGAAAGUGGGGGAUCUUCGGACCUCACGCUAUCAGAUGAGCCUAGGUCGGAUUAGCUAGUUGGUGGGGUAAAGGCCUACCAAGGCGACGAUCCGUAACUGGUCUGAGAGGAUGAUCAGUCACACUGGAACUGAGACACGGUCCAGACUCCUACGGGAGGCAGCAGUGGGGAAUAUUGGACAGUGGGCGAAAGCCUGAUCCAGCCAUGCCGCGUGUGUGAAGAAGGUCUUCGGAUUGUAAAGCACUUUAAGUUGGGAGGAAGGGCAGUAAGUUAAUACCUUGCUGUUUUGACGGUACCAACAGAAUAAGCACCGGCUAACUUCGUG
This 484-nucleotide ribosomal RNA is filed under the name uncultured bacterium. RNAcentral describes it as "partial 16S ribosomal RNA". It matches the Rfam family "Bacterial small subunit ribosomal RNA", at positions 30 to 507 of the family's 1533-position model. The record is from RNAcentral.